UAUUGUAUUAUACUAGUACUUCAGUACUAUCAGUCCUUACUGUAUUAUACUAGUGCUUCAGUACUAUCAGUCUCUAUUGUAUUAUACUAGGACUUCAGUACUAUCAGUCUCUAUUGUAUUAUACUAGUACUUCAGUACUACCAGUCUCUAUUGUAUUAUACUAGUACUUCAGUACUAUCAGUCUCUAUUGUAUUAUACUAGGACUUUGGUACUAUUUUAUUAUUCUAGUGCUUCAGUACCUAUUGUAUUAUACUUGCACUUCAGCACUAUCAGGGUGGUACUGAGAGUGCACUGUGUGUGAAGGUGCUUACUCUUGUGUGAAGGAGGUUUUUGUACGGCGGCUUCACCACAAUGAAUCACUGUGGUGGACAUUUGGAAGCGGCACAAAACUGGUGGUGAAAACUGGACCCUCUGUCAGGCCCAAAGUGUCUCUGUUCCCCCCGUCCUCUGAGCAGCUCUCCGAGGGCUCGGCCACACUGGCCUGCCUGCUGAGUGACUACUCCCCCCAGGGGGCGAUGGUGAGCUGGGAGGUAGACGGGGCAGAGGUGAAGGAGGGGGUCCUGACCACCACAGAAGAAGAGAAGGGUGGCCGCUACAGUUGCAGCAGCACCCUGACCCUGAGCAAGGCACGCUGGGAAGAGGGAGAGGUCUACACCUGCAGGGUCGCCCACGACGACACCAGUGACUCAGCCGCCUUCCGGAAAAGUCACUGUAGUGUGUAGAAGCCAUUGUAGGGGGCUAGAGAUUCCCCACAUGGUGCAAAACAUUCGUGUUUUAGAGCUGAAUGUUCCAGUAUAAUAGUGAAGAAUAUCAGUAGUGCAGUGUGCUAAACUAUUUUGAGAUUUAGUUGUACAUGUCGUCUUGCCUUCAAGUUCAAAUAAAGCUUGUUUUGAUUAAAAAA
Molecule: long non-coding RNA, 901 nt
Organism: Oncorhynchus gorbuscha (pink salmon)
Lineage: Eukaryota; Metazoa; Chordata; Actinopteri; Salmoniformes; Salmonidae
Exons: 2
Source: RefSeq, a predicted model, not a curated record